RNAcentral lists this ribosomal RNA (440 nucleotides) under uncultured bacterium. RNAcentral's name for it is "bacterial SSU rRNA". It matches the Rfam family "Bacterial small subunit ribosomal RNA", at positions 8 to 478 of the family's 1533-position model. The record is from RNAcentral.
AGAGUUUGAUCCUGGCUCAGAAUCAACGCUGGCGGCGUGCCUAACACAUGCAAGUCGCACGAGAAAGGGGCUUCGGUCCUGAGUAAAGUGGCGCACGGGUGAGUAACACGUGAAUUAUCUACCUCCGAGUGGGGAAUAACCUAGAGAAAUCUGGGCUAAUACCGCAUAACACUUACGAGUCAAAGCAGCAAUGCGCUUGGGAGAGGAGUUCGCGGCAGAUUAGUUAGUUGGCGGGGUAAUGGCCCACCAAGACGAUGAUCUGUAUCCGGCCUGAGAGGGCGCACGGACACACUGGAACUGAAACACGGUCCAGACUCCUACGGGAGGCAGCAGUGGGGAAUCUUGCGCGAUGGGGGAAACCCUGACGCAGCAACGCCGCGUGGAAGGAUGAAGUCUCUUGGGACGUAAACUCCUUUCGAUAGGGAAGAUAAUGACGGUAC